CCUACGGGGGGCAGCAGUGAGGAAUAUUGGUCAAUGGACGCAAGUCUGAACCAGCCAUGCCGCGUGCAGGAAGACGGCGCUAUGAGUUGUAAACUGCUUUUGUACGAGGGUAAAGGCAGAUACGCGUAGCUGUCUGAAAGUAACGUACGAAUAAGGAUCGGCUAACUCCGUGCCAGCAGCCGCGGUAAUACGGAGGAGUCCAGCGUUAUCCGGAUUUAUUGGGUUUAAAGGGUGCGUCGGCGGUCGGAUAAGUUAGAGGUGAAAUCCCGAGGCUCAACUUCGGAAUUGCCUCUGAUACUGUUCGUCUAGAGAGUAGUUGCGGUAGGCGGAAUGUCUGGUGUAGCGGU
RNAcentral lists this ribosomal RNA (347 nucleotides) under uncultured bacterium. RNAcentral's name for it is "partial 16S ribosomal RNA". It matches the Rfam family "Bacterial small subunit ribosomal RNA", at positions 338 to 682 of the family's 1533-position model. The record is from RNAcentral.